GUAUUUUCCUUUGCCAUGGGGAAGUACUCCCUUAAAAUCACCAAUAUAGACAUCUCCAUUUGAUAAGACCUUCUUAUCAUCCCUAGCAAGAUAAAAAGUACACUUGAACUGAUAAAAUCAUAGGAAUGGUAGAAAAAUAAGAAAGAUUUGCUGACAAGAAUAGCACCUCUCAGAAUCUUCCAUGUUUAGUAAUUGCUGUAAGACCACCAUUUGCAGUUUUGGCUCUGAAAACUGAAGCAAACAAGGAAUUCAAUCCAUCCUCCAAGGAAGUGAGCUCAAAGAAGCAGAUAACCCCUCUUUUUCAUGAACCCAGAUUCAAGAAAAUAACAAAAGCCCCCCAGAAAUUUAAGGCGAAAGAAAGAGCAACAAGAACAAGGGGAGGAAAGAAGAUAAAAGAGUUGGUGAAAAAGUCUAUAUCUUGUCCACUUCUGAAAAUUCCUGCCCCUGCAGAUCCUCUGCUGGAAUUGACACUUCACCUCUAUUUCUCUUUCUGCACAGGAACACUUUCCCCUUCUCUCUCUCUCCAAAAACAAAAAGAGAAAAAUAAAAAUUCCUUGUUUUCCUUUUUCUUCUGCAAAAUCUCUCAAGUGUUAGUUGCCCAUGCAUGAAGUUCCCUU
RNAcentral lists this unclassified non-coding RNA (617 nucleotides) under Hevea brasiliensis (rubber tree). Lineage: Eukaryota; Viridiplantae; Streptophyta; Magnoliopsida; Malpighiales; Euphorbiaceae. The record is from RNAcentral.